CACGGAAUUAGCCGGUCCUUUUUCUGAAGGUACAUACAAUAAGGGACACGUCCCUUUUUUUAUUCCCAACUAAAAGCAGUUUACAACCCGGAGGGCCGUCAUCCUGCACGCUACUUGGCUGGUUCAGACUUGCGUCCAUUGACCAAUAUUCCUCACUGCCGCCUCCCCGUAGGAGUCUGGACCGUGUCUCAGUUCCAGUGUGGGGGACCUUCCUCUCAGAACCCCUACCGAUCGAAGGCUAGGUGGGCCGUUACCCCGCCUACUACCUAAUCGGACGCAUCACCAUCUCAUACCGAUAAAUCUUUGAUUAGCCCACCAUGCGGAGAACUAAUAACAUCGGGUAUUAAUCUUAUUUCGCAAGGCUAUCCCCGAGUAUGAGGCAGGUUUGAUACGCGUUACGCACCCGUGCGCCGGUCGCCAUCAGAAGAAGCAAGCUCUUCCAUGCUGCCCCUCGACUUGCAUGUGUUAAGCCUGUAGCUAGCGUUCAUCUGAGCCAGGAUCAAACUCU
This 508-nucleotide ribosomal RNA is filed under the name uncultured Prevotellaceae bacterium. RNAcentral describes it as "partial 16S ribosomal RNA". The record is from RNAcentral. Lineage: Bacteria; Pseudomonadati; Bacteroidota; Bacteroidia; Bacteroidales; Prevotellaceae.